GUUCAGGGAGGGAACAGGGAGUAUGGUCCUGUCAGUUGUUUUAAGGUCUUUGGAUUUUACUCUGAAUAAAACGAGAGGCCUUUGGAGAGCUGUCAGUUCCGGAACCACAAGUCUAACAGGUUUAUUAGGAUCACACUGGUGACUGAGUUAAGACCAGGCUGUAUGGGGCAAAUACAAAGGAAGAGCCUCCAAGAAGUAAUCUGGGUGAGAGAAGACUGAGAGUUGCAGCAGGCUGGUCACAGGGCAGAUGAUGAGAAAUUGCUGGAUCCAGGAUGUAUUUGGGAGGCUCUGUGUUAGUGGAUUCACAAGCAACCUGUACUCCUCAAAGAAAGAUGAUAAGAUGAAGGAGAUCUCUAGAACCAGCAACUGGGGCUCUUCCUUCAGUGAAAAAAGUGGGUGUAUGCAGACUCAUCCAUCCAUGAAUCUAGAUUGCAGGGAUGUGACCUAUGUAAUGAACUUGCUACUUAUUGCUCAUCAUCAUCUUCUUCAAUGACAAAAAAGAAAAUAGUAACAAUGAAUACGUCUCUUGGGCAAAAUAAAUAAUGAGAUUGUUACAGCAACCUGAUUUUUGAAAAGAAAAAAGGAACUUCCUCGAACUAAAGCAGUUAAGACCUCGACAUUUGCUCAUAGAAAAAGUCGCUGAGUCGUUUCUAGUUGUGAAGGUGCAAAAGAUGCAGUUAUCCCUUAUGGAAAAUUCCAAGAACUUGUGCCUAAUUUGAGUCAUGCAAACCUGAGUUCUGCAUGACUGAGCUCUGUCACUCAAUGGUUGGGAAAUUUGUGAUCAUCUCUACGCCUUGCUUUCUGCAUCUGUAAAGUGGAAAUGAUAAUAUCUACCUUGUGUGAUUCCUGGAAGAAUUAAAUACAUUAUAUUCAAAAUCUUUUGGUCAAUUGUAAAUUAACAGCAAGCAUAAGUUAUUGUAAACUGAG
This 927-nucleotide long non-coding RNA is filed under the name Homo sapiens (human). RNAcentral describes it as "PREDICTED lncRNA (TCONS_00267094)". The record is from RNAcentral. Lineage: Eukaryota; Metazoa; Chordata; Mammalia; Primates; Hominidae.